AGAUAUUGUGGGAGCUUAUUAUCAAACAGUCUGACUGCGUUAAGAGUAAGACAGUGGCGGAAUCUAAUGCCCAAUCCAUACCACACAACAUAUAGAUGUCAUCAUAUUAACAUACAGCUUGAAGAGAGUUUAUCAACGAUUAUCAGUCUACAAAGUGUCCUACUAGUUUUUAGUGGUAAUACUGGAGUAUAGACUUAGCCACGCUCAUAAGUUUUCUUAUCUAUAUUAAUGCAAUGAAAUCAACGCUUAUUUAAAUGAAUAUUAAAUUAAAUAUUCAUAAAGUAUGUCAAGUCUUAAGGUGAUUGAAAUGAAAAGUGAAAUAGAGACGUAAAGUGAUGCUUAAGUACCUACAGAAGCGAUAGUAAUGACCUAAGAUUAUUGCGACUAUUUCAUGCUGUUGGCUAUUGAUGAAAUGCUUUAUGUUAAUAUGAUCCCAUAUUUUAUGAUAAUAAAUUA
Long non-coding RNA from Teleopsis dalmanni, 456 nucleotides. RefSeq lists it as uncharacterized. Lineage: Eukaryota; Metazoa; Arthropoda; Insecta; Diptera; Diopsidae. The record is from RefSeq and is a predicted model, not a curated record. The transcript is spliced from 3 exons.